CAAUAGCGUAUAUUAAAGUUGUUGCAGUUAAAAAGCUCGUAGUUGGAUUUGUGGCGUACGGUGUGUUCCGGGCACUUGUUGUCUGAGUAACCUGCUGUUGCCAUCCUUGGGUGGAACCUGUGUGGCAUUAGGUUGUCGUGCAGGGGAUGCCCAUCAUUUACUGUGAAAAAAUUAGAGUGUUCAAAGCAGGCUUAUGCCGUUGAAUAUAUUAGCAUGGAAUAAUGAGAUAGGACUUUUUUGCUAUUUUGUUGGUUUGCGCAAAGAGGUAAUGAUUAAUAGGGACAGUUGGGGGUAUUCGUAUUCCAUUGUCAGAGGUGAAAUUCUUGGAUUUUUGGAAGACGAACUACUGCGAAAGCAUUGACCAAGGAUGUUUUCAUGAA
Molecule: ribosomal RNA, 380 nt
Filed under: uncultured eukaryote
Lineage: Eukaryota
Description: partial 18S ribosomal RNA
Rfam family: Eukaryotic small subunit ribosomal RNA
Source: RNAcentral